RNAcentral lists this small RNA (398 nucleotides) under Pan troglodytes (chimpanzee). RNAcentral's name for it is "processed transcript". Lineage: Eukaryota; Metazoa; Chordata; Mammalia; Primates; Hominidae. The record is from RNAcentral.
GGAGCCCAAGUCUCUGCACCGGAUUCCGGAGCACAAGCUCCACUGCGCAUGCGCACACGCCCUAGACCCAGGCUCAGGAGGACUGAGAAUUUUCUGACGGCAGUGCACCAUGGGAAGCUCUGAAGUUUCCGUAAUUCCUGGGCUCCAGAAAGAAGAAAAGGCGGCCGUGGAGAGACGAAGACUUCAUGUGCUGAAAGCUCUGAAGAAGCUAAGGAUUGAGGCUGAUGAGGCCCCAGCUGUUGCUGUGCUGGGCUCAGGCGGAGGACUGCGGGCUCACAUUGCCUGCCUUGGGGUCCUGAGUGAGAUGAAAGAACAGGGCCUGUUGGAUGCUGUCACGUACCUCGCAGGGGUCUCUGGAUCCACUUGUUUGAUCUGGAGCUGGGUUCUGAGCUGGAUGU